This 434-nucleotide long non-coding RNA is filed under the name Phoenix dactylifera (date palm). RNAcentral's name for it is "long non-coding RNA (PDAC_LNC008049)". Lineage: Eukaryota; Viridiplantae; Streptophyta; Magnoliopsida; Arecales; Arecaceae. The record is from RNAcentral.
GUCCGUGAUCCACCUUCAUCCCAAUCCGGAUUUCUUCUCAGCCACAUCAAGUUAACAACAGCAUCCUCAUCCUCUUCUCCGAAUAACAUCCAAGAUUUAUCCCAGCUCCCCUGUUCCGGAUCAACCUCAUCCGCAAGCCAUUCCAAGCUUCAACAGCAUCACUCCACUGUUCGCAUAGGAUCCAGCUCCAUUCUCCCACGGAUAAACCCAGCAUCCCACGGUUAGCCAUGAGCUUCUACCACGAGUCUUCCCAUCCCUAUCUCGUGGCCAGCCAGAUGAGCAUCCCAGACUUCAACCAUCCCGUGAAAUCCUCCCCUACUUCCUCGGUUCAGCUUCAUCCCAGGCUUCCCGGAAACAACCCCUGCUCCGCGUGUCUUUUCCAACUUUCGGAUGAGAGUCCAGCCGUCCGCGAGAUGUCUGCGAGUUCCUAGCAA